This 506-nucleotide ribosomal RNA is filed under the name uncultured bacterium. Its description in RNAcentral is "partial 16S ribosomal RNA". It matches the Rfam family "Bacterial small subunit ribosomal RNA", at positions 30 to 523 of the family's 1533-position model. The record is from RNAcentral.
AUUGAACGCUGGCGGCAGGCCUAACACAUGCAAGUCGAACGGUAGCACAGAGGAGCUUGCUCCUCGGGUGACGAGUGGCGGACGGGUGAGUAAUGUCUGGGGAUCUGCCCGAUGGAGGGGGAUAACUACUGGAAACGGUAGCUAAUACCGCAUAACGUCGCAAGACCAAAGUGGGGGACCUUCGGGCCUCACACCAUCGGAUGAACCCAGAUGGGAUUAGCUAGUAGGUGGGGUAACGGCUCACCUAGGCGACGAUCCCUAGCUGGUCUGAGAGGAUGACCAGCCACACUGGAACUGAGACACGGUCCAGACUCCUACGGGAGGCAGCAGUGGGGAAUAUUGCACAAUGGGCGCAAGCCUGAUGCAGCCAUGCCGCGUGUAUGAAGAAGGCCUUCGGGUUGUAAAGUACUUUCAGCGGGGAGGAAGGGAUGAUGUUUAAUACGCAUCGUCAUUGACGUUACCCGCAGAAGAAGCACCGGCUAACUCCGUGCCAGCAGCCGCCGUAA